Cryptomeria japonica (Japanese cedar) is the source of this 1104-nucleotide long non-coding RNA. RefSeq lists it as uncharacterized. The transcript has 2 exons. The record is from RefSeq and is a predicted model, not a curated record. Lineage: Eukaryota; Viridiplantae; Streptophyta; Pinopsida; Cupressales; Cupressaceae.
UUCUGUACAUGGUGGCUACACGUGUCGAUUCUUCCAUUCCUAAGGAAAAGAUGCUUGGAUUAUAAUUAAUUAUUUUUAACACUAUACCAUUGCUAUUCCUGACAUUUUCAUUAUCGUGGUUUGGAGUAUGCGAGCUCACAUGGUACCUGGAUUUUUAAGAAGUAUGGCUUGAAAAUAUUGGAAACAGUCAAGGUCAGCACUGAAGGCAAACAUCUCACUCCCUUUUUCUCCUUUGAGCUAUUAGAAGGGAAAAAGACUUUGAGGUGAAUCAGGAAACAAUUCGAUUGAUUACUUUUAAUGGGAAACCUGAAUGAUUUCACUUGAUCUCCAAUGAAUUAUGUAUCAAGGACUUCCUCAUACCUAUUCAUAUUCAGGUUCUCAAUAAAUUUUUAACCUUUGAAGUACAUGGAAAUAUUAUGUACACACAGUAUAUCAUGGGAAGUAAAAGAUACGAAGCCUUUAUGAUAUCUCUUGAGGGAAUUGAUUGUCUUUCUUGGGUCAUCUGUGUUUUCUUUUCCUGAUAGCUCAAAAGGAGAAGGAGAAGGUGAGAUGGUAAGUGGAACAAUCAGAAGUGCCCCAGAUUCAGAGGGAAGUCCUGCUCGCCUUUGACAUUUGGUAAAAGAAGAAUGUUAAUGACUAGGAAAAUCAUUACAAGAUGUUUGUAACCUGUGCAUUUUGUCAUUUUUCCAUGUUAUGUUAUGAUGCUCUUCUUUCAAUAGAGUGUAUAGGGUGUAUUUGCUGCAUGAUUUGGUAGGGCGUUUUGGAUCCACUUACUCUAAUAUCUAACACUGCAUAUGAUUAAGUGCACAGUGUCUCAGUGAAACUAGUUGGAAUGCCCUUAUCUACAGGAGCUAGUCUAGUUCUCUUUUUUACAUGCCAACUUCAUAUGUGUUCUUGUAGAAGGAAGGAGAAUUAUAAUUGUACAUAAGAAAAGCUCAAGUUGCAUGGAGAAAAUAGCAGUGAUCACAUCGAUCCACUUGAAAAUCUCUGUAAGAAAAGUAUUUUGCUUGCUUAUUUCAGUUUGUAUGUUGUUCCAAUGACUUUAAACUUCCAAUCAUGGUAAAUUUGUUUUCACAUGAAAAAAAUUAAUCCUUGACUAGCCCA